Molecule: ribosomal RNA, 524 nt
Filed under: uncultured bacterium
Lineage: Bacteria
Description: bacterial SSU rRNA
Rfam family: Bacterial small subunit ribosomal RNA
Source: RNAcentral
UGGGGAAUAUUGGACAAUGGACCAAAAGUCUGAUCCAGCAAUUCUGUGUGCACGAUGACGUUUUUCGGAAUGUAAAGUGCUUUCAGUUGGGAAGAAAAAAAUGACGGUACCAACAGAAGAAGUGACGGCUAAAUACGUGCCAGCAGCCGCGGUAAUACGUAUGUCACAAGCGUUAUCCGGAUUUAUUGGGCGUAAAGCGCGUCUAGGUGGUUAUGUAAGUCUGAUGUGAAAAUGCAGGGCUCAACUCUGUAUUGCGUUGGAAACUGCAUGACUAGAGUACUGGAGAGGUAAGCGGAACUACAAGUGUAGAGGUGAAAUUCGUAGAUAUUUGUAGGAAUGCCGAUGGGGAAGCCAGCUUACUGGACAGAUACUGACGCUAAAGCGCGAAAGCGUGGGUAGCAAACAGGAUUAGAUACCCUGGUAGUCCACGCCGUAAACGAUGAUUACUAGGUGUUGGGGGUCGGACCUCAGCGCCCAAGCUAACGCGAUAAGUAAUCCGCCUGGGGAGUACGUACGCAAGUAUG